This is a non-coding RNA of Phthorimaea operculella (potato tuberworm), 76 nucleotides long. The record is from the annotation of a GenBank genome assembly. NCBI's taxonomy places the organism in Eukaryota, Metazoa, Arthropoda, Insecta, Lepidoptera, Gelechiidae.
GAUGUGGCGUAAUGGUAGUGCGACUGCCUGCGAAGCAGAAGGUUCUGGACUUCUGGGUUCAAUUCCCGGUGGGUCA